Molecule: ribosomal RNA, 253 nt
Filed under: uncultured microorganism
Description: partial 16S ribosomal RNA
Rfam family: Bacterial small subunit ribosomal RNA
Source: RNAcentral
UACGGAGGAUGCGAGCGUUAUCCGGAUUUACUGGGUUUAAAGGGUGCGCAGGCGGUUGUUUAAGUCAGGGGUGAAAGCCCUAUGCUCAACAUAGGGAUUGCCUUUGAUACUGAACGGCUAGAGUGAAGAUGGAGUGGGUGGAAUGUGUUGUGUAGCGGUGAAAUGCAUAGAUAUAACACAGAACACCGAUCGCGAAGGCAGCUCACUAAUUUUCAACUGACGCUCAGGCACGAAAGCGUGGGGAGCAAACAGG